UUCCUUUCUAUGGCACCCACCGUCACAAAGGGCACCCAUUGCCACAUGCCCUGGGGCCUCCCCCAGCCCAUCCAACCUGCCCUGCUCUGGGGGCAGCUCUGAAGGAGCUCUACAGGAUCCUGACCCCACUGGGACACAUGACUGGCAGAGUUUUCUUACCCUCCAUAACCAUUGGGGGACAUACAGGAGCCUCAAAAUCAGUGUUCUGCCUUAACAGAUUCCAAAGGGAUGAGAGGCCUGUGUGGAGGUUGCAGUCUGACCCUUUGGGAUUAAAAGAAAACCCUGAAGGAGGAGACUGAGGGGAAACCUCAACGGGGUCUGAAUCCUCUCCCCAUAAGGAACAGUGGAGAGACAGCUCCCAUCUCUGCUCUCUGUGACCAGUGGCAGCAUCCAAGUGAAUGCCUGGAGCUGAGCCAGGGGAGGUUGAGGCUGGAUAUCAGGAAAAGGUUCUUCCCCCAGAGGGUGCUGGGCCGCUGCACAGGCUCCCCAUGCAAUGGGCACGGCCCCAAGGCUGCCAGAGCUCCAGGAGAGCUUGGACAGUGCUGCCAGGGAUGCACAGGCUCGGAUUGUUGGGGUCUGUGUUCAGGGCCAUCCUCAAAACAACACAUCCCCACAAUCCACCUUCCUUUGAAUGAACAUGAUCUCUCCAUCAAGAAACUCAUGUUCAUGGCCACUGCCUCUCCAGCAACACACCCUGGCUUUUCAGUCUUACUAAAAUUCACAGAAAGCUUU
Non-coding RNA from Cyanistes caeruleus (blue tit), 732 nucleotides. The record is from RefSeq and is a predicted model, not a curated record. Lineage: Eukaryota; Metazoa; Chordata; Aves; Passeriformes; Paridae.